Molecule: ribosomal RNA, 433 nt
Filed under: uncultured bacterium
Lineage: Bacteria
Description: bacterial SSU rRNA
Rfam family: Bacterial small subunit ribosomal RNA
Source: RNAcentral
AACGAACGCUGGCGGCAGGCCUAACACAUGCAAGUCGAACGCCGUAGCAAUACGGAGUGGCAGACGGGUGAGUAACACGUGGGAACGUACCUUUCGGUUCGGAAUAACUCAGGGAAACUUGAGCUAAUACCGGAUACGUGCGAGAGCAGAAAGAUUUAUCGCCGAAAGAUCGGCCCGCGUCCGAUUAGCUUGUUGGUGAGGUAACGGCUCACCAAGGCGACGAUCGGUAGCUGGUCUGAGAGGAUGAUCAGCCACACUGGGACUGAGACACGGCCCAGACUCCUACGGGAGGCAGCAGUGGGGAAUAUUGGACAAUGGGCGCAAGCCUGAUCCAGCCAUGCCGCGUGAGUGAUGACGGCCUUAGGGUUGUAAAGCUCUUUCGCCAGGGACGAUAAUGACGGUACCUGGAUAAGAAGCCCCGGCUAACUUCGUG